AAAAAUGAGCAUCAACAAACUACUUCCAAAUGGCAAACAUCCAGAGAUAAAGUACUUUCAGCCACGAUUAUCUAAAAAUUCGUCUGAAACUCUACUCUCCAACAGACUAGGAUUACAAGAGACAACUGCAUAACAAGAAGCCAAAAUUGCUGCUAUCCCCAUAAAAAAACCCAACCAACCAACCAACCAAAAAACCCCAGAAAAACAACAAAACUAAACCAAGGGGGAUGUCUUUCCACUUCCAGUUUGUGGUAAAAAUGCUCGGAAUUAAUGUUUACAAAUGUGGCAAACAGACCUGCAAACAGAAGUACCAAGAAUUCAAAUCACCUCCUCUUAUGUCUUGGAAAUAGAGACUAUGACUUCCCUAGAUCUUAACAUAGUCCAGCUGUAGUGUGACACCUCAUUUUACUUGGCUGGAGGCAGAUCAUGUAGACUAAAGAAUGUGCAGUCUGCAAAAGCUUUCUUUAAAUCUCAUUAAAUUCUUGUUUUAAGAAUCAAAAAACCGCUUACCUGUUCACUUCCAAAGUAUGUAGGGAGAAACUGACAUUCUUAAAUAGAAACAAUCAAGAAAAUACACACUCUCACAGCCAAGCAACUUACAAACUACAGGAGAAAAGGAAAUAGCAAAAGGAAAAGUGUGACACCUCACAGGCAUUAUCUCCAAGUCUCUCUGCUUUAGGAAUUUGGCCCUUUUCUGCUUUACCUCAUGGUUCAGUAUCAUGUGAAGUACAUCACCUAUGGUUCAAUCCGAUCCCCACUUUCAAAAGCCUAACUAGAGGUUCCCCUCUACUCUGACAUGUCUUCAACACCCUUGUAGCUGCAUUUAAGACAAAACCUGGGGACUGGAAAUAGGCAAAAAUAGUCAAAUUUUAAUUUUCAAAGCACAAAACUGAGCUGGGAAUGUACGCUGAAAUAAUCUACAAAGUCACUGAGGCCUGUUGGAAAGCACGUCUACUUAAAAAUAAAUAUUGACUUCCAAAAUAACUUUAGAAAUUAUUUUAAGACACUUAUGUCUACUGUACAGUCUGAACAAUGGAGGAGAAACCGGAAUUUUUAAAAAACCAACCACAUUUCGUUAUCACAACACAGUUUUCAAACUUCUGUUCUACCAGACAAUGGUAGGCAAAGCAAAUGGGACUCUACAAAAGACUUCAGUUCUUCAGAGACAGUAAUGUCCCCUGGAAAAACAAAUGCCACCAGCUGGAUCUUCCAUUCAUGUACUUCCAUGCUAGUUCCAUGCCUGAGUCAUGCCUCCAUGUAAACAGAAUGACAUUUGCAGUAAGCCCCAAGAGUAAAUCCAUGACAAUUACUUAGAAAUAAAAAAAAAAAGUAAAACCCAGAGGAUUUAUUGCACAAAAUUCAGUACGGCAUUAAUAUAUACACUAGCAUACAGGGAACUAUUACUUUCUGUACAACUUCACUGUUGGAAGCUGCAUUCGUAGAGAUAAAAGUGACACAUAAAUGUUUCUUUCACUUGCACUUGAUAUUAAUAAAGUAAUACAAUCUGAUUUAUCUGAGCAGUAGUCAAGUUUAAAUUUUUCAAAUCACCUAAGACUUUUCACAUUCUAACUGCUGUCUUAAUUGCUCCCCAAAAUUGCAGUGGAAGCUAACUAGGAUUUUUUGCACAGGCUCUACCACAAUCUUCUAUGGUCACAUCUCCAAUCCUCUAUACAUGUAUUGCAGAAAGGAAGAAUCACAUUCUCUGACUCUAGACCAUCACAUAUCUUCAGUUAAAAAUGUGUUAUUUUUCAUCAGGCAUAUGAUCUGUCUUAUGGAUAACAGUAUUUCAUUAUCUAUAAACAAGCAGCUUUAGGUAACGAAUUAUUUUGGAACGCCAGCUGUGCACUGCAAGAUGUAUAGAAAAACAACCCUCACCUCUCAUACUGCAUGCACUGUAAACGUACCACACAAUCUAGCAAGUGACAUUAUUUUUGUCUUCCGCAAAUAUGCAGUCAAUGAACCUUUACCCCUGCAAGUUCUACCUUCCCCUCCUUUCCUGAUUUGCUUUUCUAGUUAACACAAUUUUCAAAAGCAGAGUACUUGUGUCUACCGGACGGGACAUAAUGCUCAUAUUUCUUUGGCUUUAACCCACUUCAUGUGGCUUGAGAGUUUGCCAAAUAUGUGAGUAUUUUAAAAAUAACUGCUUUCAAAAUUUAUUGCACCCACUACGUGUGCUUGUCAUAAACAACAGCAGUAGACUAUCUCAGAGAGCUGCAUAUAAUAAUGGACUGGCAAAGACAAUUCCAAUUCUGUAUGUUUUACAAUUGUACAGCGAUCACGAUUAGUCAAUGGCCUCACAGGAGAAAGAAACAUCCUUCUGACAACAAUUUUUCCUAGUCCACUGCAGCGACAUUCAACCCUGAUGAGGCGAUUUUUACCCUUAUGCCCAUUUUACAGACUCGAACGGUGCCCAAGGUCACUAGACAACAAUGAGAAGAGGCAGCCGAGUAAACCAGAAUUCCCGAUUUCCGCACUAUCCAAAUUAGGGCAUGAUGUCAACGAAAUAUUAAAUUACUGCUGUUGUGUCCCUAGCCCAGGAACUUGCCCGACCCGGCUAGGCCCUCGAUGUUCUCCACACAGCCAGAAAACGGCCACCUAAAUCCCCAGCGAGCCAUCCU
This is a long non-coding RNA of Passer montanus (Eurasian tree sparrow), 2618 nucleotides long. RefSeq lists it as uncharacterized. The transcript is spliced from 3 exons. The record is from RefSeq and is a predicted model, not a curated record. Lineage: Eukaryota; Metazoa; Chordata; Aves; Passeriformes; Passeridae.